ACGGGAGGCAGCAGUGGGGGAUAUUGCACAAUGGAGGAAACUCUGAUGCAGCAACGCCGCGUGAGUGAAGAAGGUCUUCGGAUUGUAAACCUAUGUUGUCAGGGACGAAUCAUGACGGUACCUGAAGAGAAAGCCCCGGCUAACUACGUGCCAGCAGCCGCGGUAAUACGUAGGGAGCGAGCGUUGUCCGGAUUUACUGGGUGUAAAGGGUGCGUAGGCGGGUCUGCAAGUCAGGCGUGAAAUCCAACGGCUUAACUGUGGGGCUGCGCUUGAAACUGUAGAUCUUGAGUGAAGGAGAGGCAAGCGGAAUUCCUAGUGUAGCGGUGAAAUGCGUAGAUAUUAGGAGGAACACCAGUGGCGAAGGCGGCUUGCUGGGCUUUAACUGACGCUGAGGCACGAAAGCAUGGGGAGCAAACAGGAUUAGAUACCCUGGUA
This 435-nucleotide ribosomal RNA is filed under the name uncultured Clostridium sp. RNAcentral's name for it is "partial 16S ribosomal RNA". It matches the Rfam family "Bacterial small subunit ribosomal RNA", at positions 341 to 792 of the family's 1533-position model. Lineage: Bacteria; Bacillati; Bacillota; Clostridia; Eubacteriales; Clostridiaceae. The record is from RNAcentral.